Neotoma lepida (desert woodrat) is the source of this 106-nucleotide transfer RNA. It matches the Rfam family "tRNA". Rfam says of the family: Transfer RNA (tRNA) molecules are approximately 80 nucleotides in length. NCBI's taxonomy places the organism in Eukaryota, Metazoa, Chordata, Mammalia, Rodentia, Cricetidae. The record is from Rfam.
GUCAGGAUGGCCGAGUGGUCUAAGGCGCCAGACUCAAGGCGACAGCCUUCCCCGUGGGCAUUCUGGUCUCCGAAUGGAGGCGUGGGUUCGAAUCCCACUUCUGACA